This 301-nucleotide ribosomal RNA is filed under the name uncultured bacterium. RNAcentral describes it as "partial 16S ribosomal RNA". It matches the Rfam family "Bacterial small subunit ribosomal RNA", at positions 509 to 809 of the family's 1533-position model. The record is from RNAcentral.
CAGUCGCCGCGGGAAUACGAAGGGGGCUAGCGUUGCUCGGAAUGACUGGGCGUAAAGGGCGCGUAGGCGGUUUUCCAAGUUAGAUGUGAAAUUCCUGGGCUCAACCUGGGGGCUGCAUUUGAUACUGGGAGGCUUGAGUAUGGAAGAGGGUCGUGGAAUUCCCAGUGUAGAGGUGAAAUUCGUAGAUAUUGGGAAGAACACCGGUGGCGAAGGCGGCGACCUGGUCCAUAACUGACGCUGAGGCGCGAAAGCGUGAGGAGCGAACAGGAUUAGAUACCCGCGUAGUCCCUGUCUCUUAUAU